GACGAACGCUGGCGGCGUGCUUAACACAUGCGAGUCGAACGGAAAGGCCCUGCUUUUGUGGGGUGCUCGAGUGCGAACGGGUGAGUAACACGUGAGUAACCUGCCCUUGACUUUGGGAUAACUUCAGGAAACUGGGGCUAAUACCGGAUAGGAGCUCCUGCUGCAUGGUGGGGGUUGGAAAGUUUCGGCGGUUGGGGAUGGACUCGCGGCUUAUCAGCUUGUUGGUGGGGUAGUGGCUUACCAAGGCUUUGACGGGUAGCCGGCCUGAGAGGGUAACCGGCCACAUUGGGACUGAGAUACGGCCCAGACUCCUACGGGAGGCAGCAGUGGGGAAUAUUGCACAAUGGGCGGAAGCCUGAUGCAGCAACGCCGCGUGCGGGAUGACGGCCUUCGGGUUGUAAACCGCUUUCGCCUGUGACGAAGCGUGAGUGACGGUAAUGGGUAAAGAAGCACCGGCUAACUACGUG
This 467-nucleotide ribosomal RNA is filed under the name uncultured bacterium. RNAcentral describes it as "partial 16S ribosomal RNA". It matches the Rfam family "Bacterial small subunit ribosomal RNA", at positions 28 to 507 of the family's 1533-position model. The record is from RNAcentral.